RNAcentral lists this transfer RNA (63 nucleotides) under Cordulia shurtleffii. Its description in RNAcentral is "tRNA-Arg". Lineage: Eukaryota; Metazoa; Arthropoda; Insecta; Odonata; Corduliidae. RNAcentral also lists the same sequence under 1 other name. The record is from RNAcentral.
AAAUAAGAAGCGAAAUAUUGCAACCAGUUUCGACCUGGUCAACUUGAUGUUAAAUCAUCCUUA